RNAcentral lists this ribosomal RNA (508 nucleotides) under uncultured bacterium. RNAcentral describes it as "partial 16S ribosomal RNA". It matches the Rfam family "Bacterial small subunit ribosomal RNA", at positions 355 to 881 of the family's 1533-position model. The record is from RNAcentral.
UGGGGAAUAUUGAACAAUGGGCGCAAGCCUGAUCCAGCCAUGCCGCGUGAGUGAUGAAGGCCUUAGGGUUGUAAAGCUCUUUCGGCGGGGACGAUAAUGACGGUACCCGCAGAAGAAGCCCCGGCUAACUUCGUGCCAGCAGCCGCGGUAAUACGAAGGGGGCUAGCGUUGCUCGGAAUCACUGGGCGUAAAGGGCGCGUAGGCGGACAUUUAAGUCGGGGGUGAAAGCCCAGGGCUCAACCCUGGAAUUGCCUCCGAUACUGGGUGUCUCGAGACCGGAAGAGGUGAGUGGAACUGCGAGUGUAGAGGUGAAAUUCGUAGAUAUUCGCAAGAACACCAGUGGCGAAGGCGGCUCACUGGUCCGGUUCUGACGCUGAGGCGCGAAAGCGUGGGGAGCAAACAGGAUUAGAUACCCUGGUAGUCCACGCCGUAAACGAUGGAUGCUAGCCGUUGGCAGGCUUGCCUGUCAGUGGCGCAGCUAACGCUUUAAGCAUCCCGCCUGGGGAGU